Molecule: ribosomal RNA, 262 nt
Filed under: uncultured bacterium
Lineage: Bacteria
Description: partial 16S ribosomal RNA
Rfam family: Bacterial small subunit ribosomal RNA
Source: RNAcentral
CGACCGGCGGACGGGUGCGUAACGCGUAUGCAACCUGCCUGACACAGGGGGAUAAUCCGAAGAAAUUUGGUCUAAUACCCCAUAAUACCGAUAUAGGCAUCUAUGUUGGUUGAAAGCUUUGGUGGUGUCAGAUGGGCAUGCGUUGUAUUAACUAGUUGGUGAGGUAACGGCUCACCAAGGCGACGAUACAUAGGGGGACUGAGAGGUUAACCCCCCACACUGGUACUGAGACACGGACCAGACUCCUACGGGAGGCAGCAUG